AUGGAGAAAAAGCAGGGGGAUCUUCGGACCUUGCGCUAUUGGAUGAGCCUAUGUCGGAUUAGUUAGUUGGUGGGGUAAAGGCCUACCAAGGCGACGAUCCGUAGCUGGUCUUAGAGGAUGAUCAGCCACAUCGGGACUGAGACACGGCCCGAACUCCUACGGGAGGCAGCAGUGGGGAAUAUUGCACAAUGGGCGCAAGCCUGAUGCAGCUAUGCCGCGUGUGUGAAGAAGGCCUUAGGGUUGUAAAGCACUUUCAGUAGUGAGGAAAAGUGUUGUGUUAAUAGCGCAAUGCUGUGACGUUAGCUACAGAAGAAGGACCGGCAAACUCCGUG
RNAcentral lists this ribosomal RNA (332 nucleotides) under uncultured bacterium. RNAcentral describes it as "bacterial SSU rRNA". It matches the Rfam family "Bacterial small subunit ribosomal RNA", at positions 195 to 507 of the family's 1533-position model. The record is from RNAcentral.